Molecule: transfer RNA, 71 nt
Filed under: Moniezia benedeni
Lineage: Eukaryota; Metazoa; Platyhelminthes; Cestoda; Cyclophyllidea; Anoplocephalidae
Description: tRNA-Asn
Source: RNAcentral
GUCUAUAUAGAUUAUUUGGUAUAAAUCAUGAUGCUGUUAACUUCAAGAAGGUGGGGUAUUGCCUAUAGUCG